CUGACGAUGCUUUUCAUACUUUCCUGGAACUUGACACUGUUAUUUAUUUGGCAGUCUAUGGGACAGUCUCAAGCCUCCCUGUUUUCAUCCAAAAUAUCUUAAAUUGUGUUCUGAAGAUGAAUGAAGCUUUUACAGGUUUGGAACGACAUGGGGGUAAGUGAAUAAUGGCAAAAUUUUCAUUUUAGGAUGGAGUAUCCCUUUAAAUAUCCACUGUCUGUGCCAUCAAAUGGCACUGAAGAAUGGGCACAUUCACUGCAUAAAGACAAGUGCUGCAUAAACUAAGAAGUUUUAAUAAAAUACACAAAUAGACAAUGUUAGGAUUCGUCCUGUGUUGCGUGUAUAUUUCUAAACAGUUCUAAACUGUGUAUUUGUAUUUCUAGCUCAUUGUUUACAUCCUUAUUAGGACCAUAUUGUAAUAUAUACAUAAAUAUUGCCAAAUAAGAAUGUAUGUUGAACAAGGUGUCAGAUACAUGUAGUUAAUUCAUGUACAGUGUCAUUUAUAUGAUGUUGGUUAUUUUUGAUUUUUUUUUUUUUAAUUGAACUUAAAUUUCAUUGAUAUAUAUAUAUAUAUAUAUAUAUAUAUAUAUAUAUAUACAUAUUUUGAUGUGUCUGUUUUAAAAGAGUGACUCUGAACCAACACAUUUUAAAGUUUUAUAUACUGUAUUAUUGUACCCCACAUUAUGGCUUUAACCUGUCCUUACAUUUGCAUGGUGACUUAAUACUGUAUGUACUGUAACUAAAUGAUUUGUUUUGUUUUGCUUUUCUUUUGUAAAUGAUUCCUUUAAUAGUGAUGGCUGGUCCCUUGAUUUAUUCUCUGUUUCAUUCUGCGGAAUCAACCGAAUAAUCAUUCAAUCUUUUUACCCCUGAAAAUAGGUAUUUGUGAGAGAGAGAAAGCAACAGAUCAUAGAGACACUUGCUUUAUUAGUGCUCUAAACCAGAUAUGGUGCAUCAGAGAAAUAGCUUUUCGGUUUAACCUGUUGACAGAAAUUUGGAAGUUUUGCCUUGUGGGGUUUUGUUUAGCAAUGUAUUUUGACUGAGGAUGAUAUGUCUUAAUAUAUAUUGAAAUAAAUGUUUGGUAUCACAGUCAAAA
Long non-coding RNA from Cyprinus carpio carpio, 1090 nucleotides. Lineage: Eukaryota; Metazoa; Chordata; Actinopteri; Cypriniformes; Cyprinidae. The record is from Ensembl.